AGAGUUUGAUCAUGGCUCAGGAUGAACGCUAGCGGCAGGCUUAACACAUGCAAGUCGAGGGGCAGCACGGAUAGCAAUAUCUGGUGGCGACCGGCGCACGGGUGAGUAACGCGUUUGCAAUCUACCUCUAACUGGGGGAUAGCCCGGAGAAAUUCGGAUUAAUACCCCAUGAUAUUAUGAAGAGGCAUCUCUUUAUAAUUAAAGCUCCGGCGGUUAGAGAUGAGCAUGCGUGACAUUAGCUAGUUGGUGAGGUAACAGCUCACCAAGGCAACGAUGUCUAGGGGGUCUGAGAGGAUGAUCCCCCACACUGGUACUGAGACACGGACCAGACUCCUACGGGAGGCAGCAGUGAGGAAUAUUGGGCAAUGGACGCAAGUCUGACCCAGCCAUGCCGCGUGCAGGAUGAAUGCCCUAUGGGUUGUAAACUGCUUUUGUACGGGAAGAAACACUCGCUCGUGAGCGGGAUUGACAGUACCGUAUGAAUAAGCAUCGGCUAACUCCGUGCCAGCAGCCGCGGUAAUACGGAGGAUGCAAGCGUUAUCCGGAUUCAUUGGGUUUAAAGGGUGCGUAGGCGGAAUAUUAAGUCAGUGGUGAAAUCCUGCAGCUUAACUGUAGAACUGUCAUUGAUACUGAUAUUCUUGAAUGCAGUUGAGGUAGGCGGAAUGUGUAAUGUAGCGGUGAAAUGCUUAGAUAUUACACAGAACACCGAUUGCGAAGGCAGCUUACUAAACUGUGAUUGACGCUGAGGCACGAAAGCGUGGGUAGCAAACAGGAUUAGAUACCCUAGUAGUCC
Molecule: ribosomal RNA, 793 nt
Filed under: uncultured bacterium
Lineage: Bacteria
Description: bacterial SSU rRNA
Rfam family: Bacterial small subunit ribosomal RNA
Source: RNAcentral